GGAAGUUUGAGGCAAUAACAGGUUUGUGACGCCCUUAGAUGUUCUCGGCCGGACACGUGCUACAUGGAUGUAUUCAACGAGCUUACAGCCUUGGCCGACAGGCCUGGGUAAUCUUUGAAAUUUCAUAGUUAUGGGGAUAAAUCAUUGCAAUUGUUGGUCUUCAACGA
RNAcentral lists this non-coding RNA (167 nucleotides) under Solanum tuberosum (potato). RNAcentral describes it as "Eukaryotic small subunit ribosomal RNA". It matches the Rfam family "Eukaryotic small subunit ribosomal RNA", at positions 1439 to 1606 of the family's 1831-position model. The record is from Rfam by way of RNAcentral. Lineage: Eukaryota; Viridiplantae; Streptophyta; Magnoliopsida; Solanales; Solanaceae.